AUCCAGCUGACGAGUCCCAAAUAGGACAAAGUUGUGCGCGCCCUAGAU
This 48-nucleotide non-coding RNA is filed under the name Schistosoma mansoni. The record is from RNAcentral. Lineage: Eukaryota; Metazoa; Platyhelminthes; Trematoda; Strigeidida; Schistosomatidae.